RNAcentral lists this ribosomal RNA (253 nucleotides) under uncultured bacterium. RNAcentral describes it as "partial 16S ribosomal RNA". It matches the Rfam family "Bacterial small subunit ribosomal RNA", at positions 524 to 776 of the family's 1533-position model. The record is from RNAcentral.
UACGGAGGGGGCUAGCGUUGUUCGGAAUUACUGGGCGUAAAGCGCACGUAGGCGGCUUUGUAAGUUAGAGGUGAAAGCCCAGGGCUCAACCCUGGAAUUGCCUUUAAGACUGCAUCGCUAGAAUUGUGGAGAGGUAAGUGGAAUUCCGAGUGUAGAGGUGAAAUUCGUAGAUAUUGGGAGGAACACCAGUGGCGAAGGCGGGUCUCUGGACAGUUCCUGACGCUGAGGCACGAAGGCCAGGGGAGCAAACGGG